Triticum aestivum (bread wheat) is the source of this 2008-nucleotide long non-coding RNA. RefSeq lists it as uncharacterized. The transcript is spliced from 5 exons. NCBI's taxonomy places the organism in Eukaryota, Viridiplantae, Streptophyta, Magnoliopsida, Poales, Poaceae. The record is from RefSeq and is a predicted model, not a curated record.
ACAAUAGUAAACUUCGCUUGAAAAACACACUGCUAUUCAGCUGGUUCACAACUCUUCUAAAAUAUUUCCUCUGUCUCCAUCCCAUGGAGGGCCGCUCCCUUGCCUUGCCGUCCAGCCACUCCUACGCCGCCUACCUCUCGUCGAGGGGCGCCUCCCUCGCCGUCCAGCGCCGCCCCCUCGCCGUCUAGCGGCUCCAGUGCCGCCUCCAUCCCGAUCGACGGGCGCCUCCCUCGCCGUCUAGCCACCCCAGCGCCGCCUCUCUCCCCGUUGACUGGGUCCUCCCUCGCCAUCCAGAUCUGCUUCCCUCGCCGUCCAGAUCUGAUCCCCACGCCGGCCAGCCGCCUCACCCUUCUGUCUCCCUCCCAGUCCAGCUCCUCCCACUGCCGAGUCAAGUCUUGGCGAACUACAACCGACCUGAGGAGAGGAAGACCCAAAAAAGAAAUCUGAGAGAAACAUAAAUUGGAAACUAGAGGAGUUCUGGGCAACUUUAUUAGUCUGAAUCCCUUGAGAGUUCAGCAGUAGCCGCAAUGGGUCCGAGGCUAGCAUGUCAGCUACCACGGCAAGGAAGGAGGCAAGUUUCCCGCUACAUUCAUCCUCUGCAGGUAUAUUGUUCUUUAUAGUCUAUAAGAUUAAUAGAAUAUACGCACAAUUUGGAAUGGCCGACAUUGUAGGAUAAAUUAGUUCUGUAUUAAUUUUGAGGCUCCCUUCUUAUCUUCUGUUUACAAUUACAGUCUGAAACUCUAAAUGUAAUACACAUGCACCAAGCCUUAUUACCAGGAAACACGUGGAAUGUGAGGCGGCGGCGAAGCAUUAGCUAGCGCGGGUGCGUCACCUCUGUGGUAUUGUGGGCAAUCACGGUUUUGGCAAGCUCACUGGAAUCAAGUGAGGGCAGUGAGAUAACGAUGAAUGUGGCAGCGAGAAAUGAUGGUUCUCCUGAUCUUCCUUUCUGUGGUAUCUUCUAAGGCAUCCCUGAUAUGUCUCUUUUUGGUUCUUAAAUUAUUCUUGCUAUGAAUAGUUCAUCUCCUAAAUAUAUCUUAAUUGUGUUUGUCUCUAGGAGCGCGACAUCGUAACCCAGACAAGUUCUUUCCAGAUUUAGAUAUGUAGCUCAACAUUAAAAUCGCAACUUCGUGAGAUUCUAAACCUGAAGGGAGAGCACUACGUAGCGUUCCUAUUUGAUAGCUCUCUUUGUCAUAUCUCAUUUGAUAGCUACAUCCAUGCCGGUGCUAAAUGCUUUUUACUUGGUUGCGCUGCUGAAAUUGAGCUGAAUUACACUUCUACAACUUUGUAGCUAUAUGUGAGCCUCCCACUAAUUUUUUGACAGUUGCUUCGUUAGGUACACUCAUCAUUCAUGGUUUUUUAUUACAGUUUCUAAGCAUACAUGAUAUGCUUACCAACAGGUUCGUGGUAAUACUGUCUUCAAACAUUUCAAAGCUUAAGACAUGGCAAACUGAUGAGUUGGAAAACUUUAUGAUGCUAUCACCAAUUCAUUUUAAGCAUACAUAUAUAGCAGUUCUUAAUUCUUGGUGAUCAAAAUGCGGAUGAUUUAAGGUACUAAGUGAUGUUCUAACAUAUUUUGCACUUACCUAUGUUGUUUUACAUAUGCCCAUUAUUUUCUAUUCAUGUUCAUAUAACAAAAUCUCAUCGAAAUAUUGGCAAGAAAUUCCCGCAGCAACGCGUUUGGUCAAUGGUAUACCUUCUGGGGGUUCUUCUUUGCAACUUUGAUUGGGAAGACCAGCAUCAAGACUCGUAUUCAGGUGGAUGAAUCUUCCCAAGCCUAAGAGCUUGCUGGUACUCUGUUUGGCAGCUUCUUCCCAUGCUGAGAAGACCAUGGUGCUACUCCGACCAAGGAGAAUCAUUUAGGAAUGUAUUUUCUGACUGUUCAGCUUUGUUUGUCUUUUGGAGGGGCUAAAUGGAGCAGCUCUUGUUCUUUUUAAGUUUUUGGGAACCAUGAGUUGGAAUAUCAUUUUGUGAACAAUCAAAGAUAUUGCAAUGAAUGUGAUCUUAUUUA